Molecule: ribosomal RNA, 467 nt
Filed under: uncultured bacterium
Lineage: Bacteria
Description: partial 16S ribosomal RNA
Rfam family: Bacterial small subunit ribosomal RNA
Source: RNAcentral
GAUGAACGCUGGCGGCGUGCCUAACACAUGCAAGUCGGGCGAUUCUCUUCGGAGAAGAGCGGCGGACGGGUGAGUAACGCGUGGGUAACCUGCCCUGUACACACGGAUAACAUACCGAAAGGUAUGCUAAUACGAGAUAAUAUACUUUUAUCGCAUGGUAGAAGUAUCAAAGCUUUUGCGGUACAGGAUGGACCCGCGUCUGAUUAGCUAGUUGGUAAGGUAACGGCUUACCAAGGCGACGAUCAGUAGCCGACCUGAGAGGGUGAUCGGCCACAUUGGAACUGAGACACGGUCCAAACUCCUACGGGAGGCAGCAGUGGGGAAUAUUGCACAAUGGGCGAAGCCUGAUGCAGCAACGCCGCGUGAGCGAUGAAGGCCUUCGGGUCGUAAAGCUCUGUCCUCAAGGAAGAUAAUGACGGUACUUGAGGAGGAAGCCCCGGCUAACUACGUGCCAGCCGCCGCAGUAA